AUUGAACGCUGGCGGCAUGCUUUACAUAUGCAAGUCGAACGGUAACAGGCCUUCGGGUGCUGACGAGUGGCGAACGGGUGAGUAAUGCAUCGGAACGUGCCCAGAGGUGGGGGAUAACGCAGCGAAAGCUGUGCUAAUACCGCAUGUGAUCUGAGGAUGAAAGCGGGGGACCAGGCAGCAAUGUUUGGCCUCGCGCCUUUGGAGCGGCCGAUGUCAGAUUAGGUAGUUGGUGGGGUAAAGGCCUACCAAGCCGACGAUCUGUAGCUGGUCUGAGAGGACGACCAGCCACACUGUGACUGAGACACGGCCCAGACUCCUACGGGAGGCAGCAGUGGGGAAUUUUGGACAAUGGGCGCAAGCCUGAUCCAGCAAUGCCGCGUGCGGGAAGAAGGCCUUCGGGUUGUAAACCGCUUUUGUACGGAACGAAAAGGCUCUGGCUAAUACCUGGGGCUGAUGACGGUACCGUAAGAAUAAGCACCGGCUAACUACGUG
RNAcentral lists this ribosomal RNA (492 nucleotides) under uncultured bacterium. Its description in RNAcentral is "partial 16S ribosomal RNA". It matches the Rfam family "Bacterial small subunit ribosomal RNA", at positions 30 to 507 of the family's 1533-position model. The record is from RNAcentral.